Molecule: ribosomal RNA, 254 nt
Filed under: uncultured bacterium
Lineage: Bacteria
Description: partial 16S ribosomal RNA
Rfam family: Bacterial small subunit ribosomal RNA
Source: RNAcentral
UACAGAGGUCUCAAGCGUUUGUUCGGAUUCAUUGGGCGUAAAGGGUGCGUAGGUGGCGCUGUAAGUCGGGUGUGAAAUUUCGGAGCUUAACUCCGAAACUGCAUUCGAUACUGCGGUGCUUGAGGACUGGAGAGGAGACUGGAAUUCAUGGUGUAGCAGUGAAAUGCGUAGAGAUCAUGAGGAAGACCAGUGGCGAAGGCGGGUCUCUGGACAGUUCCUGACACUGAGGCACGAAGGCCAGGGGAGCAAACGGG